GCCGGGGUGAUGAAAUUGGCAGACAUGUUGGAUUCAAAAUCCAAUGGUGGUAACACCGUGUGGGUUCAAGUCCCACUCCCGGUA
This 84-nucleotide transfer RNA is filed under the name Planctomycetota bacterium. Its description in RNAcentral is "tRNA-Leu". It matches the Rfam family "tRNA". From Rfam's summary of the family: Transfer RNA (tRNA) molecules are approximately 80 nucleotides in length. Their secondary structure includes four short double-helical elements and three loops (D, anti-codon, and T loops). Further hydrogen bonds mediate the characteristic L-shaped molecular structure. tRNAs have two regions of fundamental functional importance: the anti-codon, which is responsible for specific mRNA codon recognition, and the 3' end, to which the tRNAs corresponding amino acid is attached (by aminoacyl-tRNA synthetases). tRNAs cope with the degeneracy of the genetic code in two manners: having more than one tRNA (with a specific anti-codon) for a particular amino acid; and 'wobble' base-pairing, i.e. permitting non-standard base-pairing at the 3rd anti-codon position. Lineage: Bacteria; Pseudomonadati; Planctomycetota. The record is from RNAcentral.